GAUGAACGCUGGCGGCGUGCAUAACACAUUCAAGUCGAACGGUGAGGAGGACUUCGGUCCUCUGAUCAGUGGCGGACGGGUGAGUAACGCGUGAGCAACCUGCCCUAUAUUGCGGGAUAACAACCGGAAACAGUUGCUAAUACCGCAUGACGUAUUCGGAUCGCAUGUUCUGAAUACCAAAGAAUUUUGAUAUAGGAUGGGCUCGCGUCCGAUUAGGCAGUUAGUGGGGUAAUGGCCCACCAAACCGACGAUCGGUAGCCGAACUGAGAGGUUGAACGGCCACAUUGGAACUGAGAUACGGUCCAGACUCCUACGGGAGGCAGCAGUGGGGAAUAUUGGGCAAUGGGCGAAAGCCUGACCCAGCGACGCCGCGUGAGGGAAGAAGGUCUUCGGAUUGUAAACCUCUUUCAGCAGGGAAGAAGCAAGUGACGGUACCUGCAGAAGAAGCCACGGCUAACUACGUG
This 464-nucleotide ribosomal RNA is filed under the name uncultured bacterium. RNAcentral describes it as "bacterial SSU rRNA". It matches the Rfam family "Bacterial small subunit ribosomal RNA", at positions 28 to 507 of the family's 1533-position model. The record is from RNAcentral.